GGGUGCGAAUACUAUGUAUGGACCAUUGCUUUGAACCGGUGGAAGAGUGGCAGAGUGAUUGCAGUCGCCUUUGGCAGAGAGAGCAGAGAAAAAAAAAACGAAACAAAAACGCAUCUCCAAGUUAUGAGAGGGCAGCUUGAGUAUUGAAAAAAAAGACACUACUCUCAACUUCACCAUUCACUCUCUACUCAACCAAAUCCACUUCCUCCAUUCACAUAUACAGAUUAAAAAAAAAAAAAAAACCUCCAGCACCCAACCACAUUUUCCCUUUCACUCAUAAUCAUUCACCUCUGCCAUCAAACAGAAGCCAUUUUUUCCUCAUU
Molecule: long non-coding RNA, 323 nt
Filed under: Vigna radiata
Lineage: Eukaryota; Viridiplantae; Streptophyta; Magnoliopsida; Fabales; Fabaceae
Description: long non-coding RNA (VRAD_LNC004656)
Source: RNAcentral